Molecule: ribosomal RNA, 495 nt
Filed under: uncultured bacterium
Lineage: Bacteria
Description: partial 16S ribosomal RNA
Rfam family: Bacterial small subunit ribosomal RNA
Source: RNAcentral
GACGAACGCUGGCGGCGUGCCUAAUACAUGCAAGUAGAACGCUGAAGGAGGAGCUUGCUUCUCCGGAUGAGUUGCGAACGGGUGAGUAACGCGUAGGUAACCUGCCUGGUAGCGGGGGAUAACUAUUGGAAACGAUAGCUAAUACCGCAUAACAGUAGAUAUCGCAUGAUAUCUGCUUGAAGGGUGCAAUUGCAUCACUACCAGAUGGACCUGCGUUGUAUUAGCUAGUUGGUGAGGUAACGGCUCACCAAGGCGACGAUACAUAGCCGACCUGAGAGGGUGAUCGGCCACACUGGGACUGAGACACGGCCCAGACUCCUACGGGAGGCAGCAGUAGGGAAUCUUCGGCAAUGGACGGAAGUCUGACCGAGCAACGCCGCGUGAGUGAAGAAGGUUGUCGGAUCGUAAAGCUCUGUUGUAAGAGAAGAACGAGUGUGAGAGUGGAAAGUUCACACUGUGACGGUAUCUUACCAGAAAGGGACGGCUAACUACGUG